GCUUCUCCUUGGUCACAUACAUCAGUCCUUGGGGAGCUUCUAUCUCUAUAUGAAUCCUGCUUUGGUGAGAGCUGAUUCCAUCCAGAUUCCUCUUCCUGUGGUCCACAUAUUCCCUCCUUACUCUAUAUAUGAGGAAUAAGACACUGUCUGUGGACACCAAUAGGAGUCUUCCAAAGUCCAUCCCAGGGAGGAUAGUAAAAGGAAAAUACUUUCAUAUAUUCAGAGAGGAGACAGGAGAGAGGAGAGCCCAUAUAUAAAUCAGAUAGAGGAAAGUAAAGCUAUACUAGCCUAUCUCUCUAUCUUUCUAUCUGUCAGUCUGUCUGUCCAUUUUAUCUUUCUAUCUGUCUGUCGGUCUAUCCAUCCAUCUACCUAUCUGUCUGUCUAUCCAUCUAUCUAUCAAGAGAGAAUAUAUGUAGAUAUACGGGAAGAGAGAGAGAAUUGAUGAGUACCGAGACAUGGAGGAGGAGGAAAAGGGUGAUUGCUGAGGAUUCUGAGGACAGAGGAUGUGUAAGUCCUGGAAAUGAAUAGAGAGAACCAGUAUAAUUAAUGCUGUAGAGGAAAAAGGAGGGGAUAGCCUGAGGUCUUAGAAAGCUGAAUAUAUUCUCUGUCCUCAUAACACAGGUUAUGUCAUACAUUCUCUGCAUUUCGAUACACACAAAUGUUCUUUUAUACACUCUGUGAGAGACUCCAGACUCAGAGGAAUGUGGAGAGUAGAUAUAUCAAUGAAAUGGGCAUGGUCUUUCUGUAUAUAGGGUUAUACACUCACACAUUGAGGUCUCCCAAGCAGGCAGGGAAGGGGGAGAUGAGGAGAUCCCCCUGAUGAGAAUAGUCUGAUGACACAAAGACCCCAUUACAUCAUAAUAUGCUGACUGGAGGGGGCAGGGUCAUAAGAGGAAGCAGAGGUGUAGGGAUAGAGACAGCCCUGGGGCUCUGGCCAUCCAUCACAGUCACUGUAGUCAUCUCCCUCCUUGACAGACUCCCUGGAGAGAACUGAAGGCUGCUAAUGGAUGUCUGAGAGGGGAGAGGGGUCCAGAAAUUUGCCCAAAGCCCAUUCUGAGGAUCGGUUGGCAGAAAAGUGGUCACAACACACAAGCCACAGACUGCUGCAUCCAGUCCCAAAAGAAAGAAAGGAUCCCUGCUCAUCCCUACAGAACAACAGCUUUCCAUUUGAGGGCUGCUAAUGGAUGUCUGAGAGGGAAGAGGGGUCCAGAAAUUUGCCCAAAGCCCAUUCUGAGGAUCGGUUGGCAGAAAAGUGGUCACAACACACAAGCCACAGACUGCUGCAUCCAGUCCCAAAAGAAAGAAAGGAUCCCUGCUCAUCCCUCCGGAACAACAGCUUUUUCCAUUCUGAGGGCUGCUAAUGGAUGUCUGAGAGGGAAGAGGGGUCCAGAAAUUUGCCCAAAGGCCAUUCUGAGGAUCGGUUGGCAGAAAAGUGGUCACAACACACAAGCCACAGACUGCUGCAUCCAGUCCCAAAAGAAAGAAAGGAUCCCGGCUCAUCCCUACAGAACAACAGCUUUUUCCAUUCUGAGGGCUGCUAAUGGAUGUCUGAGAGGGGAGAGGGGUCCAGAAAUUUGCCCAAAGGCCAUUCUGACGAUUGGUUGGCAGAAAAGUGGUCACAACACACAAGCCACAGACUGCUGCAUCCAGUCCCAUAAGAAAGAAAGGAUCCCUGCUCAUCCCUCCGGAACAACAGCUUUUUCCAUUCUGAGGAAUCUUGUAGAGAAGGCUAAAGGGGAGUGUCAAAAGGACUUUGAGAAACAUCUGCCUGAAUUAUGAGAAGAGAUUAAGAGGCCAAAUGUAAAGGAAUCGAGCAGCUUGAUUCCUUUGGAAAAAUCCCAAAGAAGAGGUCAGUAGAAGGCUAAGAUACAUCAUCCCCUUAGCAGGAUCCCUGUUUAUCUGGAUAUUUAGACAUCAAAGAGCACUCAGCCAUUCUCUCUUCCCCCAUAUAUUCUGGUGUUGCUGUGUUCUCUAUGAAUUCAUAUUGGGGAUUCUCUAUUCUUUGUUGUCCAGAAUUCAGCACUGACCAGCUCUUUCUAGGUAUUAAUGACUCCCGGUGUGAUCUAUGGAGUCAAUUAUUGUGAAAACUACUGUAUUCGUGGUGCACAAAUUCAAUGUAUUCUCCCUUGGGAAGUGUCAUAUGAUUAUUCAAGUGUUCUUCUCCUUGUUCACAUACAUCAGUCCUUGGGGAGCUUCUAUCUCUAUGAAUUCCGCUUUGGUGAGAGCUGAUUCCAUCCAGAUUCCUCUUCCUGUGGUCCACAUAUUCCCUCCUUUAUCUAUAUAUGAGGAAUAAGACACUGUCUGUGGACACCAAUAGGAGUCUUCUAAAACCCAUCCCACAGAGAGAGGAAGCAGAAUCCUUUCAGGUAUACAGAGAGGAGAGAAGAGAGCCCAUAUAAGAAUCAGAGGAAGACAAAUCUCUAUCAAUGAAGAGAGAAUAUAGGCAUAGAAAAAGAAUUCAUGAGUGCCUAGAUAUGGAGGAGGAGAAGGGAUGAUUUCUGAGGUUUUUAAGGACCCAGGAUAGGUAUGUGCUGGAAAUCAAUUGAUUUAAGGACAGGGUUGCCAGAGGACUUGGAAAUCUGAAUAUAUUCUCUGUCCUCAUAACACAGGAAAUGUCAUACAUUCUCUACAUUUUUAUACACACAAUAGUCCUUUAUAAAAUAUGUUAGAGACUCCAGAGGCACAGGAAUGUAGAGAAUAAAUAUAUUAAUGAAAUGGGCCUGAUCUUUCUG
This 2732-nucleotide long non-coding RNA is filed under the name Monodelphis domestica (gray short-tailed opossum). Its description in RNAcentral is "lncRNA (ENSMODG00000034805.2)". Lineage: Eukaryota; Metazoa; Chordata; Mammalia; Didelphimorphia; Didelphidae. The record is from RNAcentral.